CCUACGGGUGGCAGCAGUGGGGAAUAUUGCACAAUGGGGGAAACCCUGAUGCAGCGACGCCGCGUGAGUGAAGAAGUAUUUCGGUAUGUAAAGCUCUAUCAGCAGGGAAGAAAAUGACGGUACCUGAGGAAGAAGCCGCGGCUAACGACGUGCCAGCAGCCGCGGUAAUACGUAGGGGGCAAGGGUUAUCCGGAUUUACUGGGUGUAACGGGAGCGUAGACGGAAGCGCAAGUCUGAAGGGAAAUGCCGGGGCUUUACCCCGGAACUGCUUGGGAAACUGGGACGCUAGAGUUCAGGAGCGGUGAGUGCACUUCCUAGUGUAGCGGUGAAAUGCGUCGAUAUUAGGAGGAACACCAGUGGCGCGGGCGGCUUACUGGACUGUACCUGACGUUGAGGCUCGAACGCGUGGGGAGCAAACAGGAUUAGAUACCCCAGUAGUC
This 440-nucleotide ribosomal RNA is filed under the name uncultured bacterium. Its description in RNAcentral is "partial 16S ribosomal RNA". It matches the Rfam family "Bacterial small subunit ribosomal RNA", at positions 338 to 795 of the family's 1533-position model. The record is from RNAcentral.